RNAcentral lists this microRNA precursor (89 nucleotides) under Canis lupus familiaris (dog). RNAcentral's name for it is "mir-8799 microRNA precursor family". It matches the Rfam family "mir-8799 microRNA precursor family". The record is from Rfam by way of RNAcentral. Lineage: Eukaryota; Metazoa; Chordata; Mammalia; Carnivora; Canidae. RNAcentral also lists the same sequence under 1 other name.
CGGGGGAGGCCGGAUCCUGGGCUGUGACCCGGCGCCCAGUGCUCCCGGGCUUGCGCUGUUGGAUUCGUGCUCCCGCCCCGCAGCCCCCU